Molecule: ribosomal RNA, 249 nt
Filed under: uncultured bacterium
Lineage: Bacteria
Description: partial 16S ribosomal RNA
Rfam family: Bacterial small subunit ribosomal RNA
Source: RNAcentral
UACGGAGGGUGCAAGCGUUAUCCGGAUUCACUGGGUUUAAAGGGUGCGUAGGCGGGCAGGUAAGUCCGUGGUGAAAUCUCCGAGCUUAACUCGGAAACUGCCAUGGAUACUAUUUGUCUUGAAUGUUGUGGAGGUGAGCGGAAUAUGUCAUGUAGCGGUGAAAUGCUUAGAUAUGACAUAGAAACACCAAUUGCGAAGGCAGCUCACUACACAAAUAUUGACGCUGAGGCACGAAAGCGUGGGGAUCAA